CUCAACCCUUGGGAGGUAAUGAGGAAGAUCAGCAACACUGCAGCCUCCUUUGCCUCCUCAGUCAGGAAAUGGCACCCUGCUGCCCAGAGAAUCUACUUCAAGAAAGAAGACAACAGUUGAGGAAACAAGUUACUCUGCGAUGCUCCAUGACUUUAAUAAAAGCAAAAAGCAACAACCUGCUGGCCA
This is a long non-coding RNA of Coturnix japonica (Japanese quail), 186 nucleotides long. RefSeq lists it as uncharacterized. NCBI's taxonomy places the organism in Eukaryota, Metazoa, Chordata, Aves, Galliformes, Phasianidae. The record is from RefSeq and is a predicted model, not a curated record.